This 1547-nucleotide unclassified non-coding RNA is filed under the name Haliotis rufescens (red abalone). Its description in RNAcentral is "multiple epidermal growth factor-like domains protein 10, transcript variant X1". Lineage: Eukaryota; Metazoa; Mollusca; Gastropoda; Lepetellida; Haliotidae. The record is from RNAcentral.
GCAUAAGGAUGGUGGAUGUUCUGCGAGUUUUCUGUGCUCUCUUCGUCGGUCUGAUUGUUGGUAUAUCAGGCAGCUGUCCUGAUGGUACAUACGGCUUCCAGUGUGGCUACAGAUGUAACUGUCCCGUGACCAGGUGUGAUACUCCGGAUGGAUGCAAUUUACAACCCUGUAGCCCAGGGUGGUCAGGGCCAACAUGUCAGAAACACAAUAAAGCACUUAACAAACCCACAUCAGCCAGUACAGCCUAUCUUCCAGCGGCCAGGGCUGUAAAUGGAGACAGAGGAGACGCAAAAUAUCAACUAGGCUUUCAUUCAGGAUUUUAUGACAGAACUAUAACGUAUGCAUGGUGGAGAGUGGAUCUGGGGGAGAGGACACCGAUACAUGACGUCACCAUAUACUUCAGGAAGGACUUCAAAGUACGUCGGAAUGGUAUCCAGAUCUACAUAGCUGAUACUGACGCCUCCCCCACUGAUGGAGUCAACUGCUACAACGUGACAGGGAACAGAGACGGGACGGACAUACCUGAUGUUUUGAACGUCACGUGUUCUGGCGAAGGGCAAUAUUUGGUCCUGUACACCAACACUAUCAACAACGAGGGUUAUGACGUGCCCAUCAUGGAUUUCUAUGAAGUUGAGGUUGACGUGUGCAGUCCUGGUACUUUCGGUGCUGACUGUGCCAACUACUGCAACUGUGACGGCGACGUGUGCGACUACGUGAGCGGCGUCUGUCCUGGUGGAGUCUGUCUUCCUGGCUGGGCAACAGAAACGUGUGAUACAGUGUGUGACCUUGGCUACUAUGGAGCCAACUGUAGCAAUGAUUGCCUGAAUAGGAACUGCAAGGGCGACAACUCUAGCUGUGACCGCGAGACAGGGGAGUGUGUUGGAGGCUGUAGUGCAGGAUGGGAUGGAACAGACUGUACUCACAAGAGUCACCACAAGCUGUUGAUCAGCGCUGUUGUUGGAGGAGCGGCGUACCUGUUGUUGAUCAUCGCUGUCUCAGCUGCAGCUGGUGUUUGUUGGUGCACAAGAAAGAACAGAACAGGCUCCAACCGUUUAGCGCAUCAUUCACAAGGAACUCCGAGAGCAAAUCACAAUUACGAAAACCAUGGCACAUCCGAACGGUCCACCGAAGUGGAGGUGGACAAACUGCAUGACAAGAUCAGGGAGUUGUUAGAGGAAGCUGGUGGUGUUCACAGUGAAUUCCACCGACUUUCUGUUGGUGCCAAUCGACCUCAGCUAAGAUCUCGACGGAAGGGAAACAGAGCCAAAAACCGUUAUAAAGACCUCUAUCCUUAUGAUUUCAACCAAGUACAGCUGACGAAACUGCACAGUGAUCCUCUCUCUACCUAUAUCAACGCUAACUACAUCAAUGGAUAUUUCAAACCUCAAGCGUACAUUGUGACUUAAGGGCCAAAACAGACAACUGUUGACGACUUCUGGCGAAUGGUCGUUGAGAAGGGGAUAACUAGAGUGGUUAUGCUGACCAACCAUGUAGAGAAGGGCGUGGUCAAAUGUGAAACUUACUGGUUGGACGGAGAUAUUCUUGAU